Molecule: ribosomal RNA, 460 nt
Filed under: uncultured bacterium
Lineage: Bacteria
Description: partial 16S ribosomal RNA
Rfam family: Bacterial small subunit ribosomal RNA
Source: RNAcentral
CCUACGGGGGGCAGCAGUGAGGAAUAUUGGUCAAUGGACGAGAGUCUGAACCAGCCAAGUAGCGUGAAGGAUGACUGCCCUAUGGGUUGUAAACUUCUUUUAUAUGGGAAUAAAAUGUUCCACGUGUGGGAUUUUGUAUGUACCAUAUGAAUAAGGAUCGGCUAACUCCGUGCCAGCAGCCGCGGUAAUACGGAGGAUCCGAGCGUUAUCCGGAUUUAUUGGGUUUAAAGGGAGCGUAGGUGGAUUGUUAAGUCAGUUGUGAAAGUUUGCGGCUCAACCGUAAAAUUGCAGUUGAAACUGGCAGUCGUGAGUACAGUAGAGGUGGGCGGAAGUCGUGGUGUAGCGGUGAAAUGCUUAGAUAUCACGAAGAACUCCGAUUGCGAAGGCAGCUCACUGGACUGCAACUGACACUGAGGCUCGAAAGUGUGGGUAUCAAACAGGAUUAGAUACCCCUGUAGUC